RNAcentral lists this long non-coding RNA (15054 nucleotides) under Populus trichocarpa (black cottonwood). Its description in RNAcentral is "long non-coding RNA (PTRI_LNC003833)". The record is from RNAcentral. Lineage: Eukaryota; Viridiplantae; Streptophyta; Magnoliopsida; Malpighiales; Salicaceae.
AACACCAUUGGCAGCAGGAUCAACGAACUCCCUAAGGGCUAUGACACCAACUACGCACUUGAUGGAAGUGGAAACAAGAAGUUGAGGAAAGCAGCAAUUGUGCAUGACGAGAAGUCUGGAAGAGCAAUGGAGAUAUUAACCAAUCAACCUGGUGUGCAGUUGUUUACUAGCAACACUUUGAACGUGAAGGGAAAAGGUGGUUUUAUGUAUAAACCUCAUGGAGCUCUAUCUCUAGAGACUCAAGGAUUUCCUGAUUCUGUUAACCGUCCCAACUUCCCUUCACAGAUUGUGAAUCCAGGGAAGCCCUACAAGCAUUACAUGUUGUUCAAGUUCUCUACUUUCUAGAUAAUUUUCACGACAUAAACACAACAAGUACAUUAUGUACGUGUUUCGAGACUGCUUUUCGGUAGUUUCAAAGUCGGAGGAUGUCGUUUCUUCUUUUUAAUGUCUGAUGCAAUAUAUUGCUCUAGAAAAUGAAUGAAUAAUCCCUGAAUAGAUCAUACUAGUUACAUGCCCGCGCGAUGCCGCGGGUCAAUUAUAUUUUGUAUUUUAAAAAUAGUUAAGAUUUAAAAGUAUUAGGUUUUUUUACAAAGUUAUACCCAAGAGUCUCAGGUUUGGUUGCAACGCCUGAUCCAAGAGUAAUGUUUAUAAUAUUAAUAAUAACAUUAAACUUGGGUUAACCCUUAAUAUAAAAGUGUCUGGAUUGCAAUACCAGACCCAAUAACAUUGGACAUGGGUCUGGCUGCAAGGUUGUGUAUAAAAGUGUGGUAAUUUAAUAAAUUAGUUAAAAAAAAACCAACAGGAAAAAAAAAACUAAUGAAAAAAAAGAAAAACAAAUAUGAAUUAAUUGGGUUAACCCUUCAAACCAGGUUAACCCGUCAUACAUUGAAUUUGCAUCGUGAAAGCUUGAUAGUUAAAAAGAAAAAAAAAAUUAAUGGGUUAACCCAGAAUUAACUGGGCUAACUCGUCAAACCAGGUUAACCUGUCAAACCCGGAAUCUGUGUAAUGAAAGUUUGAUAACUAAAUAGAAAAAAAUUUAACAUUAACAAUUUAAAUUAAACAAAAAAAAUUAAUUAAAAAAAAAGCAUCAGCCUUUUCACAGUGGACUGCACUGUGCAGUUCACAGUUAAAGGCAUAAAAAAAAAACUAAAGGCAUAAGUCGAGAACUACUUAGAAAAAAAUUUAAUAUUAAUAAACUAUAUUAAUUAAAUAAAAUUAAUUAAAAAUAACAAAUAAAAGAAAAAAAACCUCUAAGAAGAAAAAAAACAAAAUAGAAAGAAAUUUAACAUUAACAAACUAAACUAAACGAAACGAAAAAAAAUAAUUAAAAAGAAAAAAAAAGCAAAAAAUAAAAUAAAAUUCAUGUUAACUCGUCAAACCAAGUUAACCCGUUAAACCCGGGAUCUGUGUCAUGAAUGUCUGGUAACUAAAUAAAAAAAAGUGAAUAUUAACAAACUGAACUAAACAAAAAAAAUUAAUUAAAAAGAAAAAAAAUCCGGGUUAACUCGUCAAACCAUGUUAAUCUGUUAAACCCAGUAUUUGUGUCAUGAAAGUCUGAUAACUAAAUAAAUAAAAAAAUAAACAUUAACAAACUAAAUUAAAAAAAAAUAUUUAUGAAAAUAAUAAUAAUAAAAAAUUGACGGGUCAACCCGGAAUUAACUGGGUUCACCCGUGAAACCAGGUUAACCCGUGAAACUCGAGAUAUGUGUCAUGAAAGUCUAAUAACUAAAUAGAAAGAAAUUUAACAUUAACAAACUAAACUAAACGAAAAAAAGUAAUUAAAAAAAAUAAAGAAAAAAGCAAAACAAAUCCCAAAAAGCAUAAAAAAAACAGCUAAAAAAACUUAGAUAACCUUAAAAAAAAAACAUUUAUGAAAAUAAUAAUAAUAAAAAAUUGACGGGUCAACCCGGAAUUAACUGGGUUCACCCGUGAAACCAGGUUAACCCGUGAAACUCGAGAUAUGUGUCAUGAAAGUCUAAUAACUAAAUAGAAAGAAAUUUAACAUUAACAAACUAAACUAAACGAAAAAAAUUAAUUAAAAAAAAUAAAGAAAAAAGCAAAAAAAACUCCCAAAAAACAUAAAAAAAACCGCUAAAAAAACUUAGAUAACCUUAAAAAAAAAAAAAAAAAAAAAACCGCCUAAGGAAUAGAUCAUACUAGUUACAUGCCCCGCGCGAUGCCGCGGGUCAAUUAUUUUUUGCAUUUUAAAAAUAGUUAAGAUUUAAAAGUAUUAGGUUUUUUUACAAAGUUAUACCCAAGAGUCUCAGGUUUGGUUGCAACGCCUGAUCCAAGAGUAAUGUUUAUAAUAUUAAUAAUAACAUUAAACUUGGGUUAACCCUUAGCAUAAAAGUGUCUGGAUUGCAAUACCAGACCCAAUAACAUUGGACAUGGGUCUGGCUGCAAGGUUGUGUAUAAAAGUGUGAUAAUUUAAUAAAUUAGUUAAAAAAAAACCAACAGGAAAAAAAAAACUAAUGAAAAAAAAGAAAAACAAAUAUGAAUUAAUUGGGUUAACCCUUCAAACCAGGUUAACCCGUCAUACAUUGAAUUUGCAUCGUGAAAGCUUGAUAGUUAAAAAGAAAAAAACAAAUUAAUGGGUUAACCCAGAAUUAACUGGGCUAACUCGUCAAACCAGGUUAACCUGUCAAACCCAGAAUCGGUGUAAUGAAAGUUUGAUAACUAAAUAUAAAAAAAUUUAACAUUAACAAUUUAAAUUAAACAAAAAAAAUUAAUUAAAAAAAAAAAGCAUCAGCCUUUUCACAGUGGACUGCACUGUGCAGUUCACAGUCAAAGGCAUAAAAAAAAAACUAAAGGCAUCAGUCGAGAACUACUUAGAAAAAAAUUUAAUAUUAAUAAACUAAAUUAAUUAAAUAAAAUUAAUUAAAAAUAACAAAUAAAAGAAAAAAAACCUCUAAGAAGAAAAAAAACUAAAUAGAAAGAAAUUUAACAUUAACAAACUAAACUAAACGAAACGAAAAAAAAUAAUUAAAAAGAAAAAAAAAGCAAAAAAUAAAAUAAAAUUCAUGUUAACUCGUCAAACCAAGUUAACCCGUUAAACCUGGGAUCUGUGUCAUGAAUGUUUGGUAACUAAAUAAAAAAAAGUGAAUAUUAACAAACUGAACUAAACAAAAAAAAUUAAUUAAAAAGAAAAAAAAUCCGGGUUAACUCGUCAAACCAUGUUAAUCUGUUAAACCCAGUAUUUGUGUCAUGAAAGUCUGAUAACUAAAUAAAUAAAAAAAUAAACAUUAACAAACUAAAUUAAAAAAAAAUAUUUAUGAAAAUAAUAAUAAUAAAAAAUUGACGGGUCAACCCGGAAUUAACUGGGUUCACCCGUGAAACCAGGUUAACCCGUGAAACUCGAGAUAUGUGUCAUGAAAGUCUAAUAACUAAAUAGAAAGAAAUUUAACAUUAACAAACUAAACUAAACGAAAAAAAGUAAUUAAAAAAAAUAAAGAAAAAAGCAAAACAAAUCCCAAAAAGCAUAAAAAAAACAGCUAAAAAAACUUAGAUAACCUUAAAAAAAAAACAUUUAUGAAAAUAAUAAUAAUAAAAAAUUGACGGGUCAACCCGGAAUUAACUGGGUUCACCCGUGAAACCAGGUUAACCCGUGAAACUCGAGAUAUGUGUCAUGAAAGUCUAAUAACUAAAUAGAAAGAAAUUUAACAUUAACAAACUAAACUAAACGAAAAAAAGUAAUUAAAAAAAAUAAAGAAAAAAGCAAAACAAAUCCCAAAAAGCAUAAAAAAAACAGCUAAAAAAACUUAGAUAACCUUAAAAAAAAAACAUUUAUGAAAAUAAUAAUAAUAAAAAAUUGACGGGUCAACCCGGAAUUAACUGGGUUCACCCGUGAAACCAGGUUAACCCGUGAAACUCGAGAUAUGUGUCAUGAAAGUCUAAUAACUAAAUAGAAAGAAAUUUAACAUUAACAAACUAAACUAAACGAAAAAAAUUAAUUAAAAAAAAUAAAGAAAAAAGCAAAAAAAAAUCCCAAAAAACAUAAAAAAAACAGCUAAAAAAACUUAGAUAACCUUAAAAAAAAAAAAAAAAAAAAAACCGCCUAAGGAAGGAGUCAGUGUUUUACUGUGGACUGCACUAGCCGCGGGUCAAUUAUUUUUUGCAUUUUAAAAAUAGUUAAGAUCUAAAAGUAUUAGGUUUUUUUACAAAGUUAUACCCAAGAGUCUCAGGUUUGGUUGCAACGCCUGAUCCAAGAGUAAUGUUUAUAAUAUUAAUAAUAACAGUAAACUUGGGUUAACCCUUAGCAUAAAAGUGUCUGGAUUGCAAUACCAGAUCCAAUAACAUUGGACAUGGAUCUGGCUGCAAGGUUGUGUAUAAAAGUGUGAUAAUUUAAUAAAUUAGUUAAAAAAAAACCAACAGGAAAAAAAAAACUAAUGAAAAAAAAGAAAAAAAAUAUGAAUUAAUUGGGUUAACCCUUCAAACCAGGUUAACCCGUCAUACAUUGAAUUUGCAUCGUGAAAGCUUGAUAGUUAAAAAGAAAAAAAAAAUUAAUGGGUUAACCCAGAAUUAACUGGGCUAACUCGUCAAACCAGGUUAACCUGUCAAACCCAGAAUCUGUGUAAUGAAAGUUUGAUAACUAAAUAGAAAAAAAUUUAACAUUAACAAUUUAAAUUAAACAAAAAAAAUUAAUUAAAAAAAAAAAAGCAUCAGCCUUUUCACAGUGGACUGCACUGUGCAGUUCACAGUUAAAGGCAUAAAAAAAAAACUAAAGGCAUCAGUCGAGAACUACUUAGAAAAAAAUUUAAUAUUAAUAAACUAAAUUAAUUAAAUAAAAUUAAUUAAAAAUAACAAAUAAAAGAAAAAAAAACCUCUAAGAAGAAAAAAAACAAAAUAGAAAGAAAUUUAACAUUAACAAACUAAACUAAAUGAAACGAAAAAAAAUAAUUAAAAAGAAAAAAAAUGCAAAAAAUAAAAUAAAAUUCAUGUUAACUCCUCAAACCAAGUUAACCCGUUAAACCCGGGAUCUGUGUCAUGAAUGUCUGGUAACUAAAUAAAAAAAAGUGAAUAUUAACAAACUGAACUAAACAAAAAAAAUUAAUUAAAAAGAAAAAAAAUCCGGGUUAACUCGUCAAACCAUGUUAAUCUGUUAAACCCAGUAUUUGUGUCAUGAAAGUCUGAUAACUAAAUAAAUAAAAAAAUAAACAUUAACAAACUAAAUUAAAAAAAAAAUUUAUGAAAAUAAUAAUAAAAAAAAAUUGACGGGUCAACCCGGAAUUAACUGGGUUCACCCGUGAAACCAGGUUAACCCGUGAAACUCGAGAUAUGUGUCAUGAAAGUCUAAUAACUAAAUAGAAAGAAAUUUAACAUUAACAAACUAAACUAAACGAAAAAAAUUAAUUAAAAAAAAUAAAGAAAAAAGCAAAAAAAAUCCCAAAAAGCAUAAAAAAAACAGCUAAAAAAACUUAGAUAACCUUAAAAAAAAAACAUUUAUGAAAAUAAUAAUAAUAAAAAAUUGACGGGUCAACCCGGAAUUAACUGGGUUCACUCGUGAAACCAGGUUAACCCGUGAAACUCGAGAUAUGUGUCAUGAAAGUCUAAUAACUAAAUAGAAAGAAAUUUAACAUUAACAAACUAAACUAAACGAAAAAAAUUAAUUAAAAAAAAUAAAGAAAAAGGCAAAAAAAAAUCCCAAAAAACAUAAAAAAAACAGCUAAAAAAACUUAGAUAACCUUAAAAAAAAAAAAACCGCCUAAGGAAGGAGUCAGUGUUUUACUGUGGACUGCACUAGCCGCGGGUCAAUUAUUUUUUGCAUUUUAAAAAUAGUUAAGAUCUAAAAGUAUUAGGUUUUUUUACAAAGUUAUACCCAAGAGUCUCAGGUUUGGUUGCAACGCCUGAUCCAAGAGUAANNNNNNNNNNNNNNNNNNNNNNNNNNNNNNNNNNNNNNNNNNNNNNNNNNNNNNNNNNNNNNNNNNNNNNNNNNNNNNNNNNNNNNNNNNNNNNNNNNNNNNNNNNNNNNNNNNNNNNNNNNNNNNNNNNNNNNNNNNNNNNNNNNNNNNNNNNNNNNNNNNNNNNNNNNNNNNNNNNNNNNNNNNNNNNNNNNNNNNNNNNNNNNNNNNNNNNNNNNNNNNNNNNNNNNNNNNNNNNNNNNNNNNNNNNNNNNNNNNNNNNNNNNNNNNNNNNNAGAAAAAAACAAAUUAAUGGGUUAACCCAGAAUUAACUGGGCUAACUCGUCAAACCAGGUUAACCUGUCAAACCCAGAAUCCGUGUAAUGAAAGUUUGAUAACUAAAUAGAAAAAAAAUUUAACAUUAACAAUUUAAAUCCAACAAAAAAAAUUUAUUAAAAAAAAGCUUCAAUCUUUUCACAGUGGACUUCACGGUGCAGUUCACAGUCAAAGACAUAAAAAAAAAACUUAAGGCCUCAAUCAGUCGAGAACUACUUAGAAAAAAAUUUAAUAUUGAUAAACUAAAUUUAUUAAAGAAAAUUCAUUUAAAAUACCCAAUUAAAGAAAAAAAACCUCUAAGGAGAAAAAAAACUCAAUAGAAAGAAAUUUUACCUUUCCCAAGUUAACUAAACGAAAAAAAUUUAUUUAAAAAAAAUAAAAAAAAAAGCAAAAAAAAUCCCAAAAAGCAUAAAAAAACUUAGAUAACCUUAAAAAAAAAAACCGCCUAAGGAAGGAGUCAAGUGUUAUACUGUGGACUGCACAGUGCAGUCCACAGUAAAACACUGACUCCUUUUAGUUAUAGUUUAAUUGCUCGUAAGAUAUUUAUUGACAAUAAUGAUGAAUAAAAUAAAGAUGACGACUAAACAGUAUAUUUGAACUGAUUUUAGAUAUAAAAUAUCAUUGUGCAAUUAAGAUAUUUAUUGUCAUUAUAUAAUGCAUUGUAUUUUGUAAUUUUAUCUAGUGUUGUUUUGUUUGUAGUUUUAAUGAGUUAUUGAAUAAGUUAUGAAUGUAGAUGUUAUUGUUUCUUAAUUAGGCUAAAUAAGGAUUAUAACCAACAAAUAAGAAAAUAAAAUUUAAAACUUCACUGAAGGAAUAGCCAACAAAAAUAAAAAUAUAUAUAUUAAUUAUUAAAUAACCAUUGAUGACUCCAUCGUUGAUUUAACUUACCGAUAAACUCAUUGAUGAAUGUUAAAAUCAUUAGAGAAUUAUAGAGAGUUGGAUAUAAUUUUGUUGGUGAUAUUGUAACUCAUUGACAGUCUCACCGACAAUCAUUAAAAUCAUUGGAGAAUUACAGAGAGUUUAUAAAAGAAUUUAAGAAUUUUAACCAACAGAUGGAUACACUGGCAAAUAAAAUUCCAUUGAUGAUAUUGUACUCACUAAUAGUCGCUAAAAUCAUUAGAGAAAUAUAGAGAGUUUUGGGAAGAAUUUAGGGGAUUUAACCAAUAGACGAAUUCAACGGUGGAAAAAAAUUUCAUCGAUGAUAUUGUACUAAGCAAUGAACUCAUCAAUGGACAUUAAAAAUCAUUAAAGAAUUAUAAAGAGUUUAAGGAAGAAUUCAUAGGAUUGGAUUCACUGAUGAAAAUACAUAUAGAUGGAAAUUCAUCAAUGAAUUUGAGGGUUUUCAAAAGAUUUUAUAAAUUUUUGAAAUGACCGAUAAAUUUAUUGAUUAUUGUAAAAUAUCUUAUCGAUGAUUUUAUUGGUGAUGUGUUAACAUGUUAAAUCACCGACAGACUUAUCAAAAGAAGAUCUCACCGAUGAAUUCAAACCUAGAUAUACAAGGAAAUCUCUGACUUUCCCCCAUUUUCCUUAAACUUUAUACUCUCUCUACUUCUCUCUUCUCUCUUUCUUUUUUACCAAGCGAUUGAUGUUUUCUCUUUUUCUAGAAUUGGGUGGUGAGGACUCUCUCUUUUCUUUAGAUGAUGACACAAACUCUCUCUCUCUCUCUCUCUCUCUCUCUAUCUAUCCACUACUUAAGGUUUGUAAAACCCUCUGUAUAAGAUAUAUUUGAAAUGCUUUCAAUGGAUAAGUACAUAAUUACAAUUUAGACUUAUGUUUCAGGUGUUGGUUAUGUUUUAUUUCUUAUCUUUCCCCUAAAUGAAUAUGCUUUUGACUUUUGGGCUAUUGGGUUAUGUAUUGGAAUUGCUCAUGAUCGGAGGUUAGUAUAUGGAAACUGAUAAAACCAUUGACUAAAAGAUUAAUAGAAACAAACAUAAGUUAUUAUCUUUUAACUACUAAAUUGAUUUAGAACCAAUAACCAUAGCAAAUUAAAAACCCUAGUCAAAUUUAUAUAUAAUAUUGAUUCUUGUUAAAUCCAUUAAUGAAAGUUAAGCUUUAUUGUUGAAUGUCACCAUAUCAUCAUGUAUAGAAAGUCUAUUAUACCUUUAGGCAUCAUGUCAUGGUAAAUUGUUGAAUAGUUUGUCCUAAAAAGUAGUCAAUCAUAUCUUAAACUCUUAGAUGAUUUUAACUAGGCAUUCAAUACUACCAAUCACUUCUAUAUUUGUUUUGUUUUUUUUCUUUAAAAGAGGCCUUAUGGCAAUUAAUAAUCAGGAAAUUUAUAUAGAUUAUUGAAUGUUCCAACAUUUUCAUCAUCUUAAUAUCCAUCAUUUUCAUUUCAAUAAAAUUUGAAUUAAUGAGACAUAUUAAUUAUAUUAAUGGAAUACAUAUAUAUAUAUAUAUAUAUAUAUAUAUAUAUAUAUAUAUAUGAUAUUGUUUUUUUUGUUCUCUUUUUUUUUCCAUUUUCUAAUGCCAAUUUUUGACUAUAAAUCUUUGUACAAACAAGCCUUGUCAAAUUUUAAAUAAUAAGACUCAUAGGCUAAGCUUUCUUAUUACUUAUGGUCAAUUAUAUCUAUGCUUCAAUGAAGGCUUGUGUUCAGAUAUGUUCUCAUAGGUCUAGGUCUAGAUGCAACAUGUUAGGUUUGUAAAUAUAACUUGUUUGUUCUAGUGAAUGAAUUGUUAUUGAGUUUGUUUAUACUUGAUAUUCUUGUUAUUGAGGGUAAGUUUUGUUAAUGAUUUGUGAUAUUUGAUCGUGGAAAAUGAUUUGAUUUAUUAUAUUUAGUUAUAUGUAUUUUUAUUUAGAUUUUGGGUGGGAUCACAUAUAAGAGCUUUGCUGCUAAUAUUUUUUUAUAAAUGAAUAUAUGCAUUAAAAUGAAAUAUCAUAAACCAUAGAUUAAGAAUUUAAUUUAAUAUGCUUAAUUAUUUAGUUAUAUUGUGUAGAUGCCAGGAAAAAAAAUAUAAGGUUUAAAUAUAGCAGUUGUGCUUUUUCAAGUAGUGUUCGAGAGCCUUUGAUGCAUUUAGAUGUCAAUCAUAAAGAGACACUUUAUGCACUUGCUAAUGGCGUAGGCUCAUUGAGUAUGAGUCGCAGAUCUGACAUCCUAUCUGCCAGAGAUUCUUAUUCUAACAAGUUAAUAAUGGAAUGGAAGGUGGAUUUAACCAUGUAAGAAAAUUUGUUUUCUUCAAACAUAACAUUAAAUUAAUGACCAUGUGUUUAUAUAAUUUGAAGUUAAUUAAUUGAUUUUCAGGCUCACAACUAUAGAAGUUGAGCGAACGAUAAUAUCGACAAUGACAGCAUCGAUGAAAGUGCCUCUAUUUUAGUAAAGCUAGCUUAGAGAGCAUCCAUAGUGGAUGCUUAUGGUUGAGGCUUUGUGAGGGAAGUUUAAGGUCAGUGCAUAUAUAAUCUAUACUUUUAGUUAAUAUACAUUUGUUUUUAAAUUUUUAAAUUAAUUAUUUUAUUCCAAUGAUUAUAAGAAAAAUUUUUGGUGGGAUGGUGCAAACUCUAGGGUUGCCAGACAAGUCAGGAAAAAUCAUAGCGCAACUAGAUAAGUUAUAACGUAUUAAGUUUAUAAUUUUUGGUAAAAUUGUAAUUUUUUAUCAUUAUGUUUUUUUAGUUUAACGAACUUCUGAACCAAGUUACGUGAUUUCUAGUAUGACAUGCACACUUAUGCUAAGAGAAGAGUCGAGUCAGAUGUCUUUGAGGUGUGAAAGAUUUUUAGACCUCCUUACAUCACUGAAAGUAAUUGGGAGAGAUAUAUAGAGUUCUUGAUGUUAGAGGGUUUUAGAAGACAGUCAUGGAGCGAGUUUUCAAACAGUAACAAGGAGACUCACAGUUUCAUUAUCAAGUAUAUUAAUGGGUCACUUCCUUGUACUAACCAUGCAAAACGCCUGGUAAGAGCCUAUUUUAUUUUUAAUUAGUUUUCUUAAAAUGGUAGUUAUUAUUUGAAGAACGUUUAAUUAUUGAUUUAUUUUGCAAACAAUAUAGCUUAAGCGUGAGCAAACUCUGAUGGAGUUAUAUAUGGAAACACAUAUGCAGAGGGGGAAGAUAAAUAAAAAGGGUGCAAUAGUUCAUGGACAGCGGAGUUGUUUAUUGUAAGUAAACUUUUAAAUUUUUUUAUAUUGUUUGGACUAAUAUUUUUUAUCCAUAUCUUUGACUUUUUUAUGUAAGAAUAAUAUAACUGUGACAUACUUACCAAACACAAAGAGGACCCUUUAACUCAUCCAGAAUACAAUCUAGAGUUGUGAUUAGAAGUUGGAGCAAUAGGUGGACACAAUAGGAAUCAGGUUUAUAGUAUCUUUAUGAUUACGGCUCGAGAUAUGACAUAAGAUUGUAGUGUCUCGAUCAUAGGCACCCCAUAAUCCGACUCGAGGAAGCCAUCACCAACUGUUAAGGAGUUGUUGAACAAUGAAUUGGAGCUCUAAGGAUCGAAAUGGAGGCAAAGUAGAAAGAAUAAAGUAAGAAGCAAUGAAAGGAGCUGAUGACAUACUUGUACAGUAAUUAUCCUGCCCCUUAUGGACCUCUAAGAGAUUUUCCUCUCCCUCUCCCUCCACCUCCACCUACGAGCCAACUUUUUAUUAAUAUAUAUAGACAUUUGUAAUUGAUUUUUAUAGUUAAAUUAAUAAUAUAAAAUGUGUUCUUCAAUUUAAAUUAGUUGUUUAAUGUUGUUUAAUGUUACAUUGUUUGAUAACAUUUUAAAAAAAUUAAUUAACUAAAACACCAACGAAAUCACUGAUGGACAUAAAAAAAUCGUAGAUCAAAUAGGAUCAUUUUUCUCAAAGAAUUACAGAGAGUUGUGAAUUGUUUUGAUAUAAACCAACAGAUUCACCAACAAAACAUGUCGGCCAAUCCCCUAGUGACACACAAUAUAUCACCGAUGAAUUUACUCGUUGAUAAUCCAUCGGUAAUAUUUACCAUCAGAUAUGCGAACAGACAAUGAUCGAUGCCUAUUUUUAUCACUGAUGACAAUAAUUUUUUGGUAUAAAACUAACCGAUAAAAUUACUAACAGAUAAGAUAUCAGCAACGAGACACUUGUCGACGACAAGUUUUCAUCAAUAAAUUAAUUGAAGAUUUUUAUAUCGAUAAAAAUAAAACAAUUUUCUAAGAAUUUUUAUACUAAUAGAAUAUUUUGUUACAUGUGUGUAUAUUAAUUUUCUAGUUCUAGAAUAUGAGGUCACACAACUUAUAAUCCGACUCACAAUCAUACCUAAGAAUAUUUAAAGAAAGAAUUCCUUGGUUAUAAUUACUAUAUCAUCCGCCAAAUUAUCAGUAUUACUAUUUCAUCAUGUCUAUUUUUUUUUUUAAGCAUCUUCAAUUGGCGUAAUCCAAAAUAUGCAUUUGGGAGUACAUUGCAUUCUUCAAGACGUUAAGCCCAAAUAUUUUGAAGAGUUGGCAAGUCGUGAACAUGAUAGCAUUGCUAUAGUCAAGAGUUGAAAGCGUGCUUACACAAGAUCCAAAGAAAUAUCGCAAAGCACUUGACGCCUAUAAUAACGAGGGCACAAUUCUUGGAGAGUUGAAAAUGACGGGCCCAUUAAGUUCAUGAAAGGCCAGGGACGAGCUUCUAAAGAAAUAUCCAAUCUGUGACUCGGGCAUGCCGAAAUUAAGCACCCUUUGGGCCAAGCAUGCAUGGUCUACUUUUCAUAGUGGGGUCCGCAAAUGGAGAAGUUAACAAUCUUGUUGUGUUGAUCCAUUACCAGGUCAACACCACAGGCUAUCGUCGAAAGAACAAAUUGGAAGGAAGAAAACCGCUGCAUCUUUAUUUUCUAUUUCACACGUUCAACUCCAAUGCAAACCCAUAAAUAUCUCUUAUAUAAUUAAGUACUCGUAUCUUCAGAUAAAAGACCGAACCUGUUUCAUAUUCUGCGUGGAGAAGAUGGCCAAGUUUUCUGCGUUGUUUUGUUUUAUCAUACUGGUAAUUUCUGGGUGUGCCUGUAUUGACUCGGCAAUGGGGGGAGAGAUUGGGAUAUACGAGCUCAAGAAGGGAAAUCUCAGCAUGAAGCUUACCAAUUAUGGUGCCCGUAUCAUCUCCCUUGUUCUCCCUGAUAAAAAUGGUAUGUUGUCUUCUUCGAUCCAUUUUGUGAAUUCAAUCUCUUGAGAUUUCCUGUUUGUUAUUAUAUAUAUUGAUCUCAAGUUCAAGAAUACGAGUUCUUGUGCUGAUAACGUCUGCUUGUUGACGAACACUUGACAGGAAAGCUAGGUGAUGUUGCUCUUGGCUUUGAUACUAUUGAGGAAUUCAUGGUGAGGAUUUUCUCUCUUUAAUUUGUUUUUCAUGUUUUAGUUUUGGGUUUAUGAAAGAAGGGAUCAUUUCGCAUUCUUUCUUGUGGAAAAUGAUUCCCAUAGGAAUGGCCUUUGUCUGCCUGUCUGUCCGUUUGUGUCUCUUUCAAGGACAUUCAAGCACAUGGUGCUGCUCAUGCAGGACUCCCGCUGCAGUGCUAUACAGUAUUCCACUACACCUGCACCCACACCCUAGCUAGUUGCUAUUAGACAAAUGUGUUGUAGCUAAAUCUGCCGCAAAUUUUGCUUUGCCAAAAUGCUUUGCCUAUGACUUUUCAAAGAAGGUAAUUAAUUGUAAGACCAUGAGAAUUGACCUUUGACAUUUCCAAAUUCCACACACACACAUUUAUAUUAGAAAACUAAUAGUGUGAUUUGUAAAUGUUAAUCAUAUUUUUUAUAUUUUUUAGAAAAAUAUCAAUUUGAUAUUUUUUAGGUAAAAAAAAAUUAAAAAAACAAAAACUAGUACAAUGUUAAAUGAACACUAAAUGAUUGUUCAUUUCUACUUUUUAAAGUAUUUUUCAAAUUGAUUUUUUUGUGAAAAAUUAUUAAAAUAAUAUUUUUAGAUAAUUUUAAUAUAUUUUACCUAUGACUUUUCAAAGGUAAUUAACUGUAAGACCAUGAUAAUUGACCUUGACAUUUCCAAAUUCCACUUUGUUUGUUUUUUUAAUAUAUAUAUUUUUUAUAUAGAUAUUGAAAAAUUAUUAAUGUGUUUGGUAUUGUGAAAUAUUUUUUUUAUAUUAGUAUAUUAAAAUUAUAAAAAAAUAUUUAAAAAAUAUCAAUUUAAUAUUUUUAGGUAAAAUGUAAUUUGAAAAACAAAAUCUACCACAAUGUCAAAUAGAUACUAAAUAAUUGUUUGUUUUUUUUAUUUUUAAAGUACUUUUCAAAUUGUUUUUUGCAUGAAAAAUCAUUAAAUUGAUUGUUUUUUAAGUGUUCUUAUAUGAUUUUGAUAUACUAAUAUAAAAAUUAAAAAAUAUAUAAAAAAUAUUAUUUUAAUAUAUUUUUAAUUAAAAUUAAUUUAAAAAAAUACAUUACAUCAUAAUAUCAAAUAUUAACUAAUUACAUAUGGUAGGGGGAAAAGAAGAACACAGAAGGACAGUGUCCUGCAAGAACUAGGGUUAAUAAUAGAUAAAAAAAAAAAUCCUAACAAAAACCUAUACAUACAUAGAGAGAACUUCUGUUAUUGUUUUUUUCCCAGCAUUCAAUCUUGUCAAAAGUACACACAAAAAACUGUUUAUUUGAGACUACUUAGAAUAGGGUUUUAAGUUCUAAAUUAUCGGUUAAUUAGAGAAGAUUUUAACAUGUAAGAAAAAUAGCAUGACCCAUUUUAUACUUUAAUAAUUGUUUUGUUCUUCUUAACAAAUGUUUGGUCUUUCAAAUUAUUGCUUUUUCUGCAAAAAGAAAAAAAAGAACAAAGAAAAAAGUAAAUUCAUCUCUGACAUACAGAAACUGUUCUGUCUGUUAGUGCAUUUUGUCAGACACUUUAUGCUUUGUUUCAUGUCAAGUACUAAGAUUUUCCAUUUAUAAUUUCCCUUGAAUUAUCUAUGAAAUUGAUAGACUUAAUUUGUGCAGAAUGCUUCAUCACCUUUUGGGGCCACUGUGGGACGGGUUGCCAAUAGAAUCUCUAAUGCCCAGUUUACCUUGAAUGGAACUGUUUACAAACUACCUGCUAAUUCAGGGAAUAACACGAUUCAUGGUAACCUUACAUCAUAUUACACCUAGCAAAGUGGAAGCUUAAUUUCCUCAGAUUGCUUUUUUACUAAUUUGAUGAGAUUUCUUGUUUCUUUCUGAACGACUUGCUUAUGUGGAUAUCAGGCGGGCCUAUAGGAUUCAGUAAGGUUGUUUGGAAAGUGAAAAAGUAUAGCCCAGAUGGUCUUGUUCCUUACAUUGUUUUUGCUUAUCACAGCUUUGAUGGUGAACAAGGUAAGAACAUAUAGUCUGUUAAGGCUAUAGUUUUAAUUUUCCACACUAUAGAGGCUCACAUAUAACAUCUAUGAUACAUCUAAGAGCAUGAAUGACACAUUUAAUGUGAAGAUUAUUUUCAUAUUCACAGGAUUCCCUGGUGAUCUCCUUGUAGAAACAAGCUACACGCUCCUUGGAGACAACCAACUGUGUAUAACAAUGGAAGCAAAAGCUAGAAACAAGGCCACGCCGGUUAAUCUAGUAAACCAUGCCUUUUGGAACCUUGGUGGCCACAAUAGUGGCGAUAUCUUGUCAGAAAAAAUUCAGAUUUUUGCUUCGCGUUACACUCCUGUUGACAGUAAGCUCAUUCCUACAGGAAAGAUUGUGACAGUGAAAGAAACACCCUAUGAUUUUCUCAAGCCUAACACCAUUGGCAGCAAGAUCAACGAACUCCCUAAAGGCUAUGACAUCAACUACGCACUUGAUGGAAGUGGAAACAAGAAGUUGAGGAAAGCAGCAAUUGUGCAUGACGAGAAAUCUGGAAGAGCAAUGGAGAUAUUAACCAAUCAACCUGGCGUGCAGUUCUUCACCAGCAACACUUUGAACGUGAAGGGAAAAGGUGGUUUUAUGUAUAAACCUCAUGGAGCUCUAUGUCUAGAGACUCAAGGAUUUCCUGAUUCUGUUAACCAUCCCAACUUCCCUUCACAGAUUGUGAAUCC